GAUGAACGCUGGCGGCGUGCCUAACACAUGCAAGUCGAACGAAACAUCUUAUUUGAUUUUCUUCGGGACUGAUGAUUCGGUGAAUGAGUGCCGGACGGGUGAGUAAAGCGUGGGUAACCUGCGCUGUACAGGGGGAUAACAGUCAGAAAUGACUGCUAAUACCGCAUAAGACCACAGCACCGCAUGGUCCAGGGGUAAAAACUCCGGUGGUACAGGAUGGACCCGCGUCUGAUUAGCUGGUUGGUGAGGUAACGGCUUACCAAGGCGACGGUCAGUAGCCGGCUUGAGAGAAUGAACGGCCACAUUGGGACUGAGACACGGCCCAAACUCCUACGGGAGGCAGCAGUGGGGAAUAUUGGACAAUGGGCGAAAGCCUGAUGCAGCGAUGCCGCGUGAGUGAAGAAGUACUUCGGUAUGUAAAGCUCUAUUAGCAGGGAAGAUAAUGACGGUACCUGACGAAGAAGCCCCGGCUAACUACGUG
This 481-nucleotide ribosomal RNA is filed under the name uncultured bacterium. RNAcentral's name for it is "partial 16S ribosomal RNA". It matches the Rfam family "Bacterial small subunit ribosomal RNA", at positions 28 to 507 of the family's 1533-position model. The record is from RNAcentral.